Molecule: long non-coding RNA, 1410 nt
Filed under: Equus caballus (horse)
Lineage: Eukaryota; Metazoa; Chordata; Mammalia; Perissodactyla; Equidae
Description: lncRNA (ENSECAG00000052557.1)
Source: RNAcentral
GAGAGGAGAGUGCCCUGUGAUGAGGAAGCAGAGACUGGAGUGAUGCAGCUAUAAGCCAAGGAACGCCCAGCAUUGCCAGCAACACCAGAAGCCCAGAGAAGUGCCUGCACCAGUGUUCUCUAGACCGUUCGGAGAGACCGUGGCUCUGUCGACAGCUGGCACCUUGAUUUUGGACUUCUAGACUCCAGAAUUAUACAAGAAUAAAUUUCUACUAUUGUAAGCCACCUAGUUCAUGGUAAUUUUUUAGGGAAGCCCUAAGAAUCUAAUACAGGCCCUCAGCAGAAAACAGACGGCCUACUCACAUGGGUAAAUGAGAAGUCUCUAUAGGAGCCGGCAGCAAGAGUGUGGGCAAGGCUGGUGGAAUCAGCACUCGAUGAUUAAGCACCUGGAUCUGGUAAAGACCUUCCCAGUGGAGACCUAAGGGGCAAAGGGCGGAAGCCGUUCCUGAAACCCAGGGAGGGCGGCUCAGCUGUGGUCGUUGAUGGAGGGAUGCAGCUAACCCUAGGCAGCCUGGAAGGAGCAAUACCCUGACCUUUCUCUCUCCUCCUGCCUUCCAUUGGCUGAACCCAACCAGAAGCCAGAACAAGGGAGCUGUUGGUGCAGUUCAGGUGCACCAGCCUCCUGGGGCAGAGAGCAGAGUGGAGAUGGGUGGAGAAUGGACCUGGAAGGGCCUGUGGAAAAUAUUGCUGGAAAAUAAAAAGGGAAUGUGGUUUGCACUAGAACCUUCGCAGAGAACCCAUAGCCACAGGCUGGAUGCUGGAGGCUUUUUGUCAAAGGAAUACCAGGACAACUCUAAAUGAGAAGAGCAUUGAGGAAGGACUGCCCUGUGUGAUCAUGUCAAGAACGGGCGAGGGUCGGAGAUUUUACCCUUCUGCAAGCUCAUACAUCAGCCUGGCACAGUUUCAUGGAGCUGGUAGAAGACAUGAGACUCUUGGGUAAAGCCAAAUGUCAGCAUUAUUGACAUUGUCUUGUGUGGCUUCCUAAAGCCCUAAUUCCCACAGAUGACAUGAAGAGGGCCAGGUGAGCUGCAUUGGGGGGAGGAACCCUGAGCUCAGGAAGCCCAAAUCAUUCCCAACGGCUGGAAGCAUGCCUGCCUUUGCUCCCGGGAGAGACUGUCUCUAUCUUCCAGGCCUGUUUGCUAUACACAUGUCCUUGAAAGAGAGCCCAGAAAAAAGACAUCUUCAGCUCAAAAGAUGCACAAAAAUUGCAGGAGAUCCAAAGACAAUUGUCUCCCAACAGAUAACAUAUUAUACAACCUCUGUAAUUAGAACAGGGAAUAUGGACCAUGAAAAAACAAACAAGUGCAAUGGAAUAUAAAGAUCAAAAUAGACCCAAAUUUUAUGGGAAUGUAGAGUUUGAUAAAGGCAUCAUAUCAUUGGGAGAAAUCAUGGACUUUUAACAAAUGAUGUU